This 133-nucleotide small RNA is filed under the name Gopherus agassizii (Agassiz's desert tortoise). RNAcentral describes it as "TUC338 (ENSGAGG00000003354.1)". Lineage: Eukaryota; Metazoa; Chordata; Testudines; Testudinidae. The record is from RNAcentral.
CUCUAGUUAUCCAAAGAGCAGAGACAGCAUGGGCAACGGCAGAGCAAGCUUCCCCCAUGCUGUCACCACAGUGGGCCUCAAUCCCAACACAGAAGGACUUCUCAAAAGAAAAAAAAGUCUUUAGAAAACAGAG